UCAGGACGAACGCUGGCGGCGUGCUUAACACAUGCAAGUCGAACGAUGAUCUGGCAGCUUGCUGCUGGGGAUUAGUGGCGAACGGGUGAGUAACACGUGAGUAACCUGCCCUGGACUCUGGGAUAACCCCGAGAAAUCGGAGCUAAUACCGGAUAGGACCUUGCACCGCAUGGUGUGGGGUGGAAAGUUUUUUCGGUCUGGGAUGGACUCGCGGCCUAUCAGCUUGUUGGUGAGGUAAUGGCUCACCAAGGCGUCGACGGGUAGCCGGCCUGAGAGGGUGACCGGCCACACUGGGACUGAGACACGGCCCAGACUCCUACGGGAGGCAGCAGUGGGGAAUAUUGCACAAUGGGCGCAAGCCUGAUGCAGCAACGCCGCGUGCGGGAUGACGGCCUUCGGGUUGUAAACCGCUUUUAGUAAGGAAGAAGGGGAGCUUGCUCCUUGACGGUACUUGCAGAAAAAGGACCGGCUAACUACGUGCCAGCAGCCGCGGUAAUACGUAGGGUCCGAGCGUUGUCCGGAAUUAUUGGGCGUAAAGAGCUCGUAGGCGGUUUGUCGCGUCUGCUGUGAAAUCCCGAGGCUCAACCUCGGGUCUGCAGUGGGUACGGGCAGACUGGAGUGCGGUAGGGGAGAAUGGAAUUCCUGGUGUAGCGGUGGAAUGCGCAGAUAUCAGGAGGAACACCGAUGGCGAAGGCAGUUCUCUGGGCCGUAACUGAC
Molecule: ribosomal RNA, 717 nt
Filed under: Agromyces sp. L2130
Lineage: Bacteria; Bacillati; Actinomycetota; Actinomycetes; Micrococcales; Microbacteriaceae
Description: bacterial SSU rRNA
Rfam family: Bacterial small subunit ribosomal RNA
Source: RNAcentral